Molecule: ribosomal RNA, 496 nt
Filed under: uncultured bacterium
Lineage: Bacteria
Description: partial 16S ribosomal RNA
Rfam family: Bacterial small subunit ribosomal RNA
Source: RNAcentral
AUGAACGCUGGCGGCGUGCCUAAUACAUGCAAGUCGAGCGAACGGACGAGAAGCUUGCUUCUCUGAUGUUAGCGGCGGACGGGUGAGUAACACGUGGAUAACCUACCUAUAAGACUGGGAUAACUUCGGGAAACCGGAGCUAAUACCGGAUAAUAUUUUGAACCGCAUGGUUCAAAAGUGAAAGACGGUCUUGCUGUCACUUAUAGAUGGAUCCGCGCUGCAUUAGUUAGUUGGUAAGGUAACGGCUUACCAAGGCAACGAUGCAUAGCCGACCUGAGAGGGUGAUCGGCCACACUGGAACUGAGACACGGUCCAGACUCCUACGGGAGGCAGCAGUAGGGAAUCUUCCGCAAUGGGCGAAAGCCUGACGGAGCAACGCCGCGUGAGUGAUGAAGGUCUUCGGAUCGUAAAACUCUGUUAUUAGGGAAGAACAUAUGUGUAAGUAACUGUGCACAUCUUGACGGUACCUAAUCAGAAAGCCACGGCUAACUACGUG